RNAcentral lists this long non-coding RNA (456 nucleotides) under Rattus norvegicus (Norway rat). Its description in RNAcentral is "long non-coding RNA NONRATT032663". Lineage: Eukaryota; Metazoa; Chordata; Mammalia; Rodentia; Muridae. The record is from RNAcentral.
GGUUCUGGGGGUGACACAUCUUUAGUAACUGAAAUUGCUGAAAGUAAAAUAAAAUAAUAAAGUUUAGAAAGUAAAGAAAAACACCUACCACAGGUUUCAAUCUAUAAUAGGUGUCAGAAUAGUGGGAGUCCUGAUAGGUGAACUACAACAGAAGAAAGUGCUUGUGGGCCUGUGGAAACGUCUGCUCUUGAACGGGAGUGACAGUCACCUGUUUGAAAGUAAAGCUUGUUACCACCUUCCAUUCCUUCUCCAGGACAGAAGAGGAAGCCGAAUGCAGUGAUUUGGGUCAACAGGAUUUCAAGAGUUGAGACCAACCAGUAAUAUCACGAGAAAAAACAUUGUGCAUAUGGGAGGAGGGUGUUUGAAGAGAGGGAGAAAUAAGAAAAAAUAAAUAAUAGUAUUGCUAAGAAUGGAGUAGUGGAGACUGUCACUAUUCGAUGGGAAAUAGAGGUUCUG